GGGUGGGACACCAACUCCAUGUGUCCCCAUUGUUCCCUCACAGACUGGAAAUCAGGUGGCCUAGAGCCUGGCAGAGGUCUGCACAGUGAGGACAGCACAGCCAGGCAUGCCAGACACCCUGAGGGAGGCCCUGGGGCAGACCUUCCUGAAAAGCUGGCCUAUCAACAGGCCCUCCUUCCCUGACCCCAGAAGGGUCUGCAUUUCCUCCCCACAGGAAGGCAUGGUGGGAAGUAGCACAGAUGAAGCUUUCUGGAAUCCCUAGUUGGGGAUAAGCAACAGUGCAAGAGGAGUCCAGAAGAGGCACAAAAAAUGAGAAAAACUUGGCUACAUGAGCUACACCCUGAGGAGAGCCACCACAGGAUGGACGCCUAAUGUCCCUCAAUUCUCAGACAGUUGUGGAGCACCAGCCCUGUGCCCUUGAGUACAACCACAAAGCAGACAACAGACCCUGUCCUCUUGGAGCUGACAGUGAGGACAGGCAGGGAGUCAUGGGAUCAGGCUACCCUGAAGAAGGCAAAGGCAUUCACACCACUGAACAAGGGGUUCAUCUCAUGGAGCCUUCUGUCAGGCUCCCAGGGCUCUGGGGCAGGAAUUCUAUACCAGGCAUAGGGAGCAGAUGGGGUUCACUCAUGGACAAACUGGGCAGGAGGCUGAAAGCUAGAAUUUAUUGAUCCCCUAAUCUUAACCCUAGCACUGGUCCUUAAAUCUAAUCCUAAAUAAAACCUAAACCUAAACUUGAACCUACCUCUAAACCAUACCCCUGACCCUAACCUUCAAGACAAAAAUCUGAAACUAAACCUAAACACUAACUCUAAUAAAACCCCUCUUCAUAACAUUAAAUCUAAGCAUAUUUCAAUCCAAAUCCCUAGCCACUAACUCUAACCAUAAGAUUAACCCUGAAUGUAACCCUGAAAAUUUAUCCUAAAUCAAACCCUUAACGUACCCUUCAUGUUCACCUGAACCCUAAACAUAACAUUCAUACUCACCCUAAAUCUUAACCAUAAAUAACAUCAAACUCUAAUCCUAAUCCAUAACAUCUAACACUAACCCUAACUUCCACCCCAAUACCAUCCCAAAUCCAAUGCUAAGCGGAAACCUAGCCCUAACUCUAAGCCCCACACUACCCCUAAAGCCAAACCUAACAUAAACCCUAUCCUAAUAUCCAAUGCUAAGCUUAAACCUUACUGCUAAUCCCUACAAUAUUUUCAGCAAAGAGACUCAGAGAGACCCUCUUUCUGUUGUUGACCUCUGGCCUACCUUCUG
Molecule: long non-coding RNA, 1263 nt
Filed under: Heterocephalus glaber (naked mole-rat)
Lineage: Eukaryota; Metazoa; Chordata; Mammalia; Rodentia; Bathyergidae
Description: lncRNA (ENSHGLG00000049987.1)
Source: RNAcentral